GUAGGUGGCAAGCGUUGUCCGGAAUUAUUGGGCGUAAAGCGCGCGCAGGCGGUUCUUUAAGUCUGAUGUGAAAGCCCACGGCUCAACCGUGGAGGGUCAUUGGAAACUGGAGAACUUGAGUACAGAAGAGGAAAGCGGAAUUCCACGUGUAGCGGUGAAAUGCGUAGAGAUGUGGAGGAACACCAGUGGCGAAGGCGGCUUUCUGGUCUGUAACUGACGCUGAGGCGCGAAAGCGUGGGGAGCAAACAGGGAUUAGAUACCCUGGUAGCCCACGCCGUAAACGAUGAGUGCUAAGUGUUAGGGGGGUUUCCGCCCCCUUAGUGCUGCAGCUAACGCAUUAAGCACUCCGCCUGGGGAGUACGGCCGCAAGGCUG
RNAcentral lists this ribosomal RNA (374 nucleotides) under uncultured organism. RNAcentral describes it as "partial 16S ribosomal RNA". It matches the Rfam family "Bacterial small subunit ribosomal RNA", at positions 527 to 896 of the family's 1533-position model. The record is from RNAcentral.